Molecule: non-coding RNA, 131 nt
Filed under: Candidatus Heritagella gallinarum
Lineage: Bacteria; Bacillati; Bacillota; Clostridia
Description: FMN riboswitch (RFN element)
Rfam family: FMN riboswitch aptamer (RFN element)
About the family: The RFN element is a highly conserved domain that is found frequently in the 5'-untranslated regions of prokaryotic mRNAs that encode for flavin mononucleotide (FMN) biosynthesis and transport proteins. This element is a metabolite-dependent riboswitch that directly binds FMN in the absence of proteins.
Source: RNAcentral
UGUCUUCGGGGCGGGGUGCAAUUCCCCACUGGCGGUAAUCUGCUGUUGCAGAAAGCCCGCGACCGACGCUUUCAGCGUCGUUGAUUUGGUGAGAUUCCAAAGCCAACGGUUAAAGUCCGGAUGGAAGAAGC